CAUGUCCUACGGGGGGCAGCAGUGGGGAAUAUUGCACAAUGGGGGGAACCCUGAUGCAGCGACGCCGCGUGGGUGAAGGAGUACUUCGGUACGUAAAGCCCUAUCAGCAGGAAAGAAAAUGACGGUACCUGACUAAGAAGCCCCGGCUAACUACGUGCCAGCAGCCGCGGUAAUACGUAGGGGGCAAGCGUUAUCCGGAUUUACUGGGAGUAAAGGGAGCGUGGACGGCAGUGCAAGUCCGGAGUGAAAGCCCGGGGCUCAACACUGGGACUGCUCUGGAAACUGUAAAGCUGGAGUGCGGGUGG
RNAcentral lists this ribosomal RNA (305 nucleotides) under uncultured bacterium. RNAcentral's name for it is "bacterial SSU rRNA". It matches the Rfam family "Bacterial small subunit ribosomal RNA", at positions 333 to 655 of the family's 1533-position model. The record is from RNAcentral.